RNAcentral lists this ribosomal RNA (497 nucleotides) under uncultured bacterium. RNAcentral's name for it is "partial 16S ribosomal RNA". It matches the Rfam family "Bacterial small subunit ribosomal RNA", at positions 28 to 507 of the family's 1533-position model. The record is from RNAcentral.
GAUGAACGCUGGCGGCGUGCCUAAUACAUGCAAGUCGAGCGAACGGACGAGAAGCUUGCUUCUCUGAUGUUAGCGGCGGACGGGUGAGUAACACGUGGAUAACCUACCUAUAAGACUGGGAUAACUUCGGGAAACCGGAGCUAAUACCGGAUAAUAUUUUGAACCGCAUGGUUCAAAAGUGAAAGACGGUCUUGCUGUCCCUUAUAGAUGGAUCCGCGCUGCAUUAGCUAGUUGGUAAGGUAACGGCUUACCAAGGCAACGAUGCAUAGCCGACCUGAGAGGGUGAUCGGCGACACGGGAAGUGAGACACGGUACGGAGUCCGACGGGAGGCAGCAGUAGGGAAUCUUCCGAAAUGGGCGAAAGCCUGACGGAGCAACGCAGCGUGAGUGAUGCGGGUCUUCGGAUCGUAAAACUCUGUUAUUAGGGAAGAACAUAUGUGUAAGUAACUGUGCACAUCUUGACGGUACCUAAUCAGAAAGCCACGGCUAACUACGUG